CCCUUAGAUGUUCUGGGCCGCACGCGCGCUACACUGACGAAUGCAACGAGCUUAUAACCUUGGCCGAAAGGUCUGGGUAAUCUCCAAAUUUCGUCGUGAUGGGGAUAGAUUAUUGCAAUUAUUAAUCUUCAACGAGGAAUGCCUAGUAAGCGCAAGUCAUCAGCUUGCGUUGAUUACGUCCCUGCCCUUUGUACACACCGCCCGUCGCUCCUACCGAUUGAGCAGUCCGGUGAAUACUUCGGACCGUUUGCAUAGAUGGUUCGCCAUCUUUGCGAAUGGAAAGUCGAGUGAACCUUACUGCUUAGAUGAAGGAGAAGUCGUAACA
RNAcentral lists this ribosomal RNA (325 nucleotides) under uncultured eukaryote. Its description in RNAcentral is "partial 18S ribosomal RNA". It matches the Rfam family "Eukaryotic small subunit ribosomal RNA", at positions 1470 to 1796 of the family's 1831-position model. The record is from RNAcentral.